RNAcentral lists this ribosomal RNA (331 nucleotides) under Blastocystis sp. subtype 3. RNAcentral describes it as "SSU rRNA". It matches the Rfam family "Eukaryotic small subunit ribosomal RNA", at positions 18 to 369 of the family's 1831-position model. Lineage: Eukaryota; Bigyra; Opalinata; Blastocystidae. The record is from RNAcentral.
UAGUAGUCAUACGCUCGUCUCAAAGAUUAAGCCAUGCAUGUGUAAGUAUAAAUAGUUAACUUUGAAACUGCGAAUGGCUCAUUAUAUCAGUUAUAGUUUAUUUGAUGAAGAAUACUAAUUGGAUAACCGUAGUAAUUCUAGAGCUAAUACAUGUAUAAAGUCUUGUAGACUGCAUUUAUUAGAAUGAAAACCAUAGGUUUCGGCCUAUUCGUGAGUAAUAAUAACUAAUCAUAUCGUAUGCUUAAGUAACGAUGUGUCUUUCAAGUUUCUGCCCUAUCAGCUUUCGAUGGUAGUGUAUUGGACUACCAUGGCAGUAACGGGUAACGAAGAA